AGUCGUGCGAGAAAGUAUCUUCGGAUAUGAGUAGAGCGGCGGACGGGUGAGUAACGCGUAGGAAUCUACCUAGUAGAAGGGGAUAGCCCGGGGAAACCCGGAUUAAUACCGUAUACCUCCUUCGGGAGAAAGAAGGCCUCUCUUUGAAGCUUUCGCUACUAGAUGAGCCUGCGUAAGAUUAGCUUGUUGGUGAGGUAAAGGCUCACCAAGGCUACGAUCUUUAGCUGGUCUGAGAGGACGAUCAGCCACAUUGGGACUGAGACACGGCCCAGACUCCUACGGGAGGCAGCAGUGGGGAAUAUUGGACAAUGGGCGCAAGCCUGAUCCAGCCAUACCGCGUGUGUGAAGAAGGCCUUCGGGUUGUAAAGCACUUUAAGCAGGGAGAAAAAGUUAUAAGUUAAUACCUUAUAACCCUGAUGUUACCUGCAGAAUAAGCACCGGCUAAUUCCGUGCCAGCAGCCGCGGUAAUACGGAAGGUGCAAGCGUUAAUCGGAAUUACUGGGCGUAAAGCGCGCGUAGGUGGUUUGUUAAGUUGGAUGUGAAAGCCCUGGGCUCAACCUAGGAACUGCAUCCAAAACUAACUCACUAGAGUACGAUAGAGGGAGGUAGAAUUCAUAGUGUAGCGGUGGAAUGCGUAGAUAUUAUGAAGAAUACCAGUGGCGAAGGCGGCCUCCUGGAUCUGUACUGACACUGAGGUGCGAAAGCGUGGGUAGCGAACAGGAUUAGAUACCCUGGUAGUCCACGCCGUAAACGAUGACAACUAGCUGUUGGGAGACUAUGUCUUUCAGUGGCGCAGCUAACGCUUUAAGUUGUCCGCCUGGGGAGUACGGCCGCAAGGCUAAAACUCAAAUGAAUUGACGGGGACCCGCACAAGCGGUGGAGCAUGUGGUUUAAUUCGAUGCAACGCGAAAACCUUACCUACUCUUGACAUACUUGGGA
Molecule: ribosomal RNA, 939 nt
Filed under: uncultured marine bacterium
Lineage: Bacteria
Description: bacterial SSU rRNA
Rfam family: Bacterial small subunit ribosomal RNA
Source: RNAcentral